Molecule: long non-coding RNA, 512 nt
Organism: Crotalus tigris (Tiger rattlesnake)
Lineage: Eukaryota; Metazoa; Chordata; Lepidosauria; Squamata; Viperidae
Exons: 4
Source: RefSeq, a predicted model, not a curated record
CCAGUAGCACAAGAAGCUGUGGCUUUGGCAAAUGGCCAGAAAGCAAAAGUCAUUGGAAGAGAAAGGAGUUUAUAUAUGGAUCUUUUGUUGAAAUUGCCUACAUCCAAACAAAACCCAGACAGCUUCAGCCAGCAGAUCUACACAAUGAUUAGACCCUCAAUAGUAAAGCCUACUUAGAAAGCCCCAAGUUUGGAUAACAUCUCUAUGUACAUUGCCAAGAUAUGUAUAGCUAAUAAAAUAAAUGACAUAAGUCACAUCAGCUCUGUUUCCCAGAACAACUCUGCCCUCAAAGCAUAUUUCACAAAUAAAAGUGCUAAGUAGCUGCAGCUUUCUUUGGAGAUAUGCCCAACUGCCUAGGAAAAAGGCAAACUUUGUGAGAAGCUUACAGCGAAGAGAAAUAACCUCAUCAGGGUGUGCUUUCUGAUGAAGGCAAAAGUUGAGUCUACGGAGAUAUCUUCUUUCAGUCUUUGACAAUCAAGAUUUUAUGCCUUAUAAAACAAUUUUAAACGCCC